GAACUCUGUGGUGUAAUUUACAAUGCUCUAAUCUCUAGCAGUCAAGAAAAAUUAGGGCUGCUAAUUUUGGAAUCUGGAGCCUCUAGCAAAAGGAGAGAGACAGCUUCUGCCUAGAUGUGCCCCCUUGGGACUGGGGACUUCCUGGGGUAUUAAUCACCCAGGCGGAACUAGAAUAUGCAAGCAGGAAUGGUUCCUUUUGCCUGUCUUUUCAGCUGAGUCCUGAAAAUGUGUUUGGAGGUUAUUGUAGAAACCACUACAUCACUGCAUCCCUUCUUAUUCUCGAGAGCACAGCUAAAUAUUUGCCAGCCAUGUCGGUGCUGUUGAUAUUCUGUGUGGCCUUGUGGCCAAGUUCUCUCAAAUAAAAAAGGUACAUCUGC
This is a long non-coding RNA of Hyaena hyaena (striped hyena), 377 nucleotides long. RefSeq lists it as uncharacterized. The transcript has 2 exons. NCBI's taxonomy places the organism in Eukaryota, Metazoa, Chordata, Mammalia, Carnivora, Hyaenidae. The record is from RefSeq and is a predicted model, not a curated record.